Molecule: ribosomal RNA, 481 nt
Filed under: uncultured bacterium
Lineage: Bacteria
Description: partial 16S ribosomal RNA
Rfam family: Bacterial small subunit ribosomal RNA
Source: RNAcentral
UUUCCCUCUUUCUUCCUUCCUUACACAUGCAAGUCGCACGGUAACAGGUCUUCGGAUGCUGACGAGUGGCGAACGGGUGAGUAAUACAUCGGAACGUGCCCGAUCGUGGGGGAUAACGGAGCGAAAGCUUUGCUAAUACCGCAUACGAUCUACGGAUGAAAGCAGGGGACCGCAAGGCCUUGCGCGGACGGAGCGGCCGAUGGCAGAUUAGGUAGUUGGUGGGAUAAAAGCUUACCAAGCCGACGAUCUGUAGCUGGUCUGAGAGGACGACCAGCCACACUGGGACUGAGACACGGCCCAGACUCCUACGGGAGGCAGCAGUGGGGAAUUUUGGACAAUGGGCGAAAGCCUGAUCCAGCCAUGCCGCGUGCAGGAUGAAGGCCUUCGGGUUGUAAACUGCUUUUGUACGGAACGAAAAGACUCUUUCUAAUAAAGAGGGUCCAUGACGGUACCGUAAGAAUAAGCACCGGCUAACUACGUG